This 208-nucleotide ribosomal RNA is filed under the name uncultured bacterium. Its description in RNAcentral is "partial 16S ribosomal RNA". It matches the Rfam family "Bacterial small subunit ribosomal RNA", at positions 1283 to 1500 of the family's 1533-position model. The record is from RNAcentral.
GGUACCCAGUUCGGAUUGUAGGCUGCAACUCGCCUACAUGAAGUCGGAGUUGCUAGUAAUCGCGGAUCAGAAUGCCGCGGCGAAUGCGUUCCCGGGUCUUGUACACACCGCCCGUCACACCAUGGAAGUUGGGGGCGCCCGAAGUUGGUCGGGAAAUAGAUUACCUAAGGCGAAACCAAUGACUGGGGUGAAGUCGUAACAAGGUAAC